Non-coding RNA from Naganishia vaughanmartiniae, 102 nucleotides. The record is from the annotation of a GenBank genome assembly. Lineage: Eukaryota; Fungi; Basidiomycota; Tremellomycetes; Filobasidiales; Filobasidiaceae.
GGGGAAAUGGCGCAGUGGUAGCGCGUCGAGUUUGCAUAUUGACUGAGAAGUCGACAAUGUAAGAUCUCUCGAAGGACCGGGGUUCAAUCCCCCGUUUCUCCA